UACAGAGGCCCCGAGCAUUAUCCGGAUUUACUGGGCGUAAAGGGUGUGUAGGUGGUGUGAUUAGUCUCUCGUCAAAACCCAGAGCUUAACUCUGGGCUCGCGAGGGAAACGGUCAUACUCGAGGAUGCGAGAGGUAUGCGGGACUCAAGGUGUAGGGGUGAAAUCCGUUGAUAUCUUGGGGAACACCAAAUGCGAAGGCAGCAUACUGGCGCACUCCUGACACUGAAACACGAAAGCGUGGGUAGCGAACGGG
Molecule: ribosomal RNA, 253 nt
Filed under: uncultured bacterium
Lineage: Bacteria
Description: partial 16S ribosomal RNA
Rfam family: Bacterial small subunit ribosomal RNA
Source: RNAcentral